CUCCACCGUUUAAAAGACAGUAUAUUCAAGGUUUGCAAGAUUUACAUUUAAGAGAUAUACUGUUUCUCAACAAUAACACCGAACCAUGGGGUGAAGUAAUACAAAAAUGGAAAGAUACAUUUAAAGUUCGAAAAGAAAGUGAACACAAGAGCGUUCAUGAGUUUCUACAAGACUGGAAAAUAUUAUCAGACCAAAGAAGUGACAUAUUGAUAAACAUUGACUUCGACUUGUUGUAUCCAGAAAAAGGGCUGAAUUUUUAUUUAAAUUGGAAAAUAUUUUUCGAAAAAAUUAUUGCUUUUAAACCGAACAGAGACGAAAG
Hyposmocoma kahamanoa is the source of this 319-nucleotide long non-coding RNA. RefSeq lists it as uncharacterized. NCBI's taxonomy places the organism in Eukaryota, Metazoa, Arthropoda, Insecta, Lepidoptera, Cosmopterigidae. The record is from RefSeq and is a predicted model, not a curated record. The transcript has 3 exons.